GUGGGGAAUAUUGGACAAUGGGGGCAACCCUGAUCCAGCAAUGCCGCGUGUGUGAAGAAGGUCUUCGGAUUGUAAAGCACUUUCGACGGGGACGAUGAUGACGGUACCCGUAGAAGAAGCCCCGGCUAACUUCGUGCCAGCAGCCGCGGUAAUACGAAGGGGGCUAGCGUUGCUCGGAAUGACUGGGCGUAAAGGGCGUGUAGGCGGUUUACACAGUCAGAUGUGAAAUCCCCGGGCUUAACCUGGGAGCUGCAUUUGAUACGUGUAGACUAGAGUGUGAGAGAGGGUUGUGGAAUUCCCAGUGUAGAGGUGAAAUUCGUAGAUAUUGGGAAGAACACCGGUGGCGAAGGCGGCAACCUGGCUCAUGACUGACGCUGAGGCGCGAAAGCGUGGGGAGCAAACAGGAUUAGAUACCCUGGUAGUCCACGCUGUAAACGAUGUGUGCUAGAUGUUGGGUAACUUUGUUAUUCAGUGUCGCAGUUAACGCGUUAAGCACACCGCCUGGGGAGUACGGCCGCAAGGUUGAAAC
RNAcentral lists this ribosomal RNA (529 nucleotides) under uncultured bacterium. RNAcentral's name for it is "partial 16S ribosomal RNA". It matches the Rfam family "Bacterial small subunit ribosomal RNA", at positions 354 to 900 of the family's 1533-position model. The record is from RNAcentral.